RNAcentral lists this ribosomal RNA (497 nucleotides) under uncultured bacterium. RNAcentral's name for it is "partial 16S ribosomal RNA". It matches the Rfam family "Bacterial small subunit ribosomal RNA", at positions 28 to 507 of the family's 1533-position model. The record is from RNAcentral.
GAUGAACGCUGGCGGCGUGCCUAAUACAUGCCAGUCGAGCGAACGGACGAGAAGCUUGCUUCUCUGAUGUUAGCGGCGGACGGGUGAGUAACACGUGGAUAACCUACCUAUAAGACUGGGAUAACUUCGGGAAACCGGAGCUAAUACCGGAUGAUAUUUUGAACCGCAUGGUUCAAAAGUGAAAGACGGUCUUGCUGUCACUUAUAGAUGGAUCCGCGCUGCAUUAGCUAGUUGGUAAGGUAACGGCUUACCAAGGCAACGAUGCAUAGCCGACCUGAGAGGGUGAUCGGCCACACUGGAACUGAGACACGGUCCAGACUCCUACGGGAGGCAGCAGUAGGGAAUCUUCCGCAAUGGGCGAAAGCCUGACGGAGCAACGCCGCGUGAGUGAUGAAGGUCUUCGGAUCGUAAAACUCUGUUAUUAGGGAAGAACAUAUGUGUAAGUAACUGUACACAUCUUGACGGUACCUAAUCAGAAAGCCACGGCUAACUACGUG